Molecule: long non-coding RNA, 1010 nt
Organism: Mytilus californianus (California mussel)
Lineage: Eukaryota; Metazoa; Mollusca; Bivalvia; Mytilida; Mytilidae
Exons: 3
Source: RefSeq, a predicted model, not a curated record
UAACCUGAAUUGAGUAAUUUAUGUGACAGGUGUUCCUAGAAUAAGCCUCACUUCAUCACCAAUUUUGAAGGAUGAAAAUGUUAAGGGCAUGGUUGGUGUUGAUUAUUUAUAUUUCUUAUGGAAUAUGCCACACAGCGUUAGAUUUAGAUGAAUUUCCCGAGUGUGUGAUAGCAGAUAAGAUCGAUGAGUCAUUACACCAUACCAACAGAUGUGAAGACCCCGAAAAUAUGUUAGACACACCAGACAGCAGCAAUGAAAAAGAACGAGCAGUAUGCAAAUGUCCUGGUGUUACUAUAUGUCAUGAAACUGGUGGACCGGGGGAUACAAAAAUGUACUACUGCAAGAAAGAUAUACCUAAAGCUACUGGGACUAGUGGUCUAAAUUUGGAUGAGCCAAAAAACAAAACGACGACAUACGAUUGAAUACAGGAACUGUAGUUUUAUUUCAAUAUUGGGUUUUUUAGUGUUAAAGGUGCAUCUUUAUCUAUAUCACUGUAUGGGACUAAUAUAUUAAAUAUAAAUUUUUCAAUAUCAGAUAGGACACAAAAUUCUGUUUGAAGAAGAUGUUUAUGUCUCUCUCUCUCUCUCUCUCUCUCUCUCUCUCUCUCUCUCUCAAAUUUAAUGUAGUUAUUGAAUUCCAAUUUCCAUUCACAGAAGUGCAUCCUAACUUAUGUGCAUUGUAAAAAUAUCUCUCUCUCAAAUUUAAAUUAGUUAUUGAAUUCCAAUUUUCAUUAGCAGACGUGCAUCAUAACGUAUACUUUGAAUUUGUUAAAUGCAUACUAGUAUGUCUUUGUUUAAAUUUUGAACUUUUAUUGAAAUAUUGAUAUCAAUAUGUAAUUUAAUUAGAUAUAUUAUGACACUGUCGACAUCAAGAAAAAUAAACUGAAUUGAAUAAUUUAUGUAACAGGUGUUCCUAGAAUAAGCCCUCUCUCUCUCUCUCUCUCUCUCUCUCUCUCUCUCUCUCUCUCUCUCUCUGCAAUACCGGUGUAAUUAAAGUACAUUUUAAACUAA